UACAUUUUUGGUUUGAGGUAUUUUAUAUUUUAUUUUUUAUUCUUCUUUAAUAAAGUUUUAUUCUUGCUUUAUGUUAGUUUUUUUGUAUGUUUUAAUAUACAUAUUUAUUUAUUAAAUAUUUAUUUAUGUAGUAUUUAUAUUUGAAUAUUAAGUUAUUUUUGAUUCAGUAAUUCAUUUAGAGAAGGUAAAUGUCGUGCCAGCAGCCGCGGUUAUACGUUGAUUCUCAAGAUUAACUUUUUUGGUGGUAGUUAUUAUUUUUUGUAUUUUUUUAUUUUAAUAUUUGGUGAAAUAUUAUUAAUUUAUUUUAUACUUGAUAUUUUUUUUCUGUUUAAGCUAUUUUUUAAACUAGGAUUAGAUACCCUAUUAUUUUAGAUUAAUAUUUUUGUCAGGGUAGUAUUUUGUUAAUUGAAACUUAAAGAAUUUGGCGGCUUUUUAUUUUUUUUUAGAGGAACCUGUUUCAUGAAUGAUGUUACACGAUUUGCACAGCUUAUUUUAUAUUGUUUGUAUAUUUCCGUUAUCAGAAUAUUUAUAGAUAAUAUUUUCAUUUUUUUUUAUUAAAGUUUAUUUCAGGUCAAGGUGCAGCUUAUGAAUAAGUGGUUAAUGGGUUACAAUAAUUUAAUUUAUAUGGAUAUUUUUUUUAAAUAUUAAAUUGAAGGUGGAUUUAUUAGUAAGUUUUAAUAUUUAUUAAAUCUGAAUUAGUACUAAAUUGUGUACAUAUCGCCCGUCGCUCUCAUUUAUUUGAGAUAAGUCGUAACAAAGUAGAUUUACUGGAAAGUGAAUCUGGAUU
This 787-nucleotide non-coding RNA is filed under the name Alulatettix yunnanensis. Lineage: Eukaryota; Metazoa; Arthropoda; Insecta; Orthoptera; Tetrigidae. The record is from RNAcentral.